CGGUAGGUUGAUGUGUAAGAUGUUGAUGCUGAGAUUCACCAUCAUCAGGUCCCAUCCAAAAUCUAUUAUAGCAUUAUAUGCAUGUAUAUAAACAACAAUAAUUAACUGCAGUAGAGAAGGCAAAAAAACAAAAAAGUAAGACAACACGCGAUCGACCGAGUAGCUACUUACCGAACCCUGCAAUAAAGAAGGAAAGGGAAGCAACCAGCGAGAACAGCUCUGACUUGUUUAUUAAUUUACGAUGAACUGAAUGUAGUAGUAACUUGGAGUGAUAUAUAUGCUGGAAUUAUAUUAUGUUAAUAUGGGGAAAAGUGGAAGCAUAUAUAUAUAUAUAUAUAUAACUCAUGUUGUGAGAUUUUGUUGAUGAAUGAAUUCAUGCAUGGUUAAUUAUUGCCAAA
RNAcentral lists this long non-coding RNA (398 nucleotides) under Linum usitatissimum (flax). RNAcentral's name for it is "long non-coding RNA (LUSI_LNC001958)". Lineage: Eukaryota; Viridiplantae; Streptophyta; Magnoliopsida; Malpighiales; Linaceae. The record is from RNAcentral.